This is a long non-coding RNA of Cebus imitator (Panamanian white-faced capuchin), 1742 nucleotides long. RefSeq lists it as uncharacterized. The transcript is spliced from 5 exons. The record is from RefSeq and is a predicted model, not a curated record. NCBI's taxonomy places the organism in Eukaryota, Metazoa, Chordata, Mammalia, Primates, Cebidae.
CUUAUAUCAUACUUAAAUCUCUCAGCCUUCAGUUUAAGACAUUUUCUCUUCUUGUAAACUAUAACAAUUAUAACUACCCAAACUGACAUUCAGCUAACAUUUAUAGACAGCCUCCUAAAUGAAAAUAAUGUACUUAAUUCUGGGGGAUAAAAUAUGAAUAAUAUAUAGUCUCUGCUUUACAGAAAUAUCACAACCCUGUGGGGGAGAAAAACAUAUGUGAAAAUAACUAUGCUUGUCUUUUACAAAGGCAGUAAGGAAAAAAUGAUUCAUUUUGACCGUGAGUGUUGGGGAAGAUGUCAUGAAAUGGAGAGUGUGCAGAAGUGUUACAACAUGAAGUAUCUCGGUCCUCAACUCCUCCCUUUGCUGCUAUGUCAUUUUCACCUGAGUCAUGGAUUUGUGACUUUAGGAAUGCAUGAAUGAGAAGAAAAACAAAGGGAAAAAAGAAGACAGCACACAGGCCUCAAUGGUGUCCAUUUUCCCGAAAGGGCAUUGGAGGCUUGGCGGACAUACGAAAAUACAUGCAAGGAAAAUAAUUCGUAAAGAUGUGACGUGUAGCAUUUUGUUGAAUGAAUUGGGUGCACAAACAUUAUUCCUAUCUUAAUCUCACACCCAUACUUGUCAUUUUGUCCCUCCACUUUAUACUGUCACGAUACCCAGCACUUGCCCUUAGCAGUCCUUGACGCAUUUGGAUGACUAUUUCCUGAAUGACUUUCUCACUCUCUAGAUAAAAAUCUGUAAAACCAAUGAUCCCGCCUCUCUUGUUUACCAUGUUUUAUUCACCCAGCAGCCAGCAUAGAGCUUGGAACACUUGACAUGGAAGAGUUCUCCCAAAAUACGGACUGUUUUCUGCCACUAGCAAACACACUGAUAAAUGCUAAAAGGGCUUGCCAUGAAUCAUUUGAUCACAGGAUUUUAAGGCACCUCUAGGCAUGAUUAUGGUCUCCCACCAGUCAAGCCUGAGGCGUUCUGUUAACAUUCUUUUAGAAGAUCAAGACGUGGAAUGGUGUGAUGGACAUAACCGCUCUAAAAUGAAGUUCUUUUGUCAUGUUAGAAACAAGGGUCUAUUUUGGGGGUAGGAACCAAGAUAGUCUUACUUGUGUUGUAUUCAGCCUUAUAUAAAAUUUUUAAUUUUUUUUAAAAAACAACAAAGCCAUAAUGACUCCUUAUUUUCUUUCCAUAUUUUAAACAACUGCUGAUCAAGAAAGAGUUUAAUCCAAAUUCCAAAUCUUUGAACAUAUACGCCACUUUCAAAGGAGGCUGGGCAGGUUUCAAUGGGCCCUAGGAGCCCAUAUUCUAUUUCUCCGUCUGUCUCUCCCUGUCACUGUCACACCCCUCUCUCUCUUUCUCUCUUCUGUCUUUUCCUUUUGUUCCCUCUUAUAACGAGGAAGAAGGAUAAAAAUGUGAUUUGGCUGGAACAGAUUGAAACUGAGUAAAGUUGAACAAACACAAAUCUUCCACAAUGAAAUGUAAAUUUGUCUAAGCUAUAAUGCCAAAUAUGUUUUUUUUUUCUUUCCUUCUCAAUGGUAGCAAUAACAGAGAAGCAUAUUGGCCCCAUGAUCAAGAGGGAACUUUGCCCAACUCCUGGUCUUAAUGAAACAGAGACUUAAAAAACAACAGCAAGCUUCCCAUGGCCUGGCAGAGUUUCAGAGUCUCAAUCUGAGCAAGGCUUCAGAGAACCUCUCUACCCCCUUUGCUCUGUUUUUUUUUUUUUUUUUUUUUUUUUUUCUUUUACUUUUCUUUUU